CAAGUCGAACGAUAUAGUGGCAGACGGGUGAGUAACGCGUGGGAACGUACCUUUCACUACGGAAUAGCUCCGAGAAAUUGGUGGUAAUACCGUAUACGCCCUCAGGGGGAAAGAUUUAUCGGUGAAAGAUCGGCCCGCGUUGGAUUAGCUAGUUGGUGAGGUAAUGGCUCACAAAGGCGACGAUCCAUAGCUGGUCUGAGAGGAUGAUCAGCCACACUGGGACUGAGACACGGCCCAGACUCCUACGGGAGGCAGCAGUGGGGAAUCUUGCACAAUGGGCGAAAGCCUGAUGCAGCCAUGCCGCGUGAAUGAUGAAGGCCUUAGGGUUGUAAAAUUCUUUCGUCAGGGAUGAUAAUGACCGUACCUGAAGAAGAAGCCCCGGCUAACUUCGUGCCAGCAGCCGCGGUAAUACGAAGGGGGCUAGCGUUGUUCGGAAUUACUGGGCGUAAAGCGCACGUAGGCGGAUUUUUAAGUCAGGUGUGAAAUCCCGGGGCUCAACCUCGGAACUGCAUUUGAAACUGGAAGUCUUGAGACCAGGAGAGGUUAGCGGAAUACCGAGUGUAGAGGUGAAAUUCGUAGAUAUUCGGUGGAACACCAGUGGCGAAGGCGGCUAACUGGACUGGUACUGACGCUGAGGUGCGAAAGUGUGGGGAGCAAACAGGAUUAGAUACCCUGGUAGUCCACACCGUAAACGAUGAGAGCUAGUUGUUGGCAGGCAUGCCUGUCGGUGACGCAGCUAACGCAUUAAGCUCUCCGCCUGGGGAGUACGGCCGCAAGGUUAAAACUCAAAGAAAUUGACGG
Molecule: ribosomal RNA, 801 nt
Filed under: uncultured bacterium
Lineage: Bacteria
Description: bacterial SSU rRNA
Rfam family: Bacterial small subunit ribosomal RNA
Source: RNAcentral